Molecule: ribosomal RNA, 240 nt
Filed under: Alcaligenes sp. 3T-N5
Lineage: Bacteria; Pseudomonadati; Pseudomonadota; Betaproteobacteria; Burkholderiales; Alcaligenaceae
Description: partial 16S ribosomal RNA
Rfam family: Bacterial small subunit ribosomal RNA
Source: RNAcentral
CCCGCACAAGCGGUGGAUGAUGUGGAUUAAUUCGAUGCAACGCGAAAAACCUUACCUACCCUUGACAUGUCUAGAAGGCCGAAGAGAUUCGGCUGUGCUCGCAAGAGAACUGGAACACAGGUGCUGCAUGGCUGUCGUCAGCUCGUGUCGUGAGAUGUUGGGUUAAGUCCCGCAACCAGCGCAACCCUUGUCAUUAGUUGCUACGAAAGGGCACUCUAAUGAGACUGCCGGUGACAAACC